UCAUCUUUUUCUUCAGCCGCCAUCCCCCCUUUCUCUCUCUUCGCACUCUUCUCUCCUCCCCCCGCUCCUCUCUCUCCCGCUCCUCUCUCUCUUCUUCACACAUGAAACCCUAGCCCAAAUCAUAAUCCAUCCAUAUAAAUAAUCGAUUUUCCAGUCAAAAGUGGGGCAGAAAAAAAUCGCACAAAAUUCCUGGAGAAAUAGGAGAUUUCGGAGUCGCAGAAAUUCCCCCCAAAAAAUGAGAAGUCCCUUUUAUCUGUAUUGAAUCUUUGAAAAACAAGAAAGUUCUUGGAGCCGCAUAAAAUUUCCUGAAUGUGAAAUUUCCCUCUAAAUAUUAACUCACUAUUUUUGAUAGUCGAAGCGUUGAAUCGUGCGUUUUAUUCGCUCUUGUUACUUCCGUUACUGUUUUCGCAUCCGAGUCUACGCAAACUAGGAGAUUCGAAGUGUUCGAGGUAGAUCUGAAGCCCCGCACCCCAUUUGGCUGCACCUAAAAAAGAGUGCUCAUGAGCAUAAAUUAUGUAUAUACUGAUGAAAACGAUCGGGACGAUAACCCGUACCUGCGUAGUGUAUUAGUGACGGUUUGUGACUCGACGCAUCAUCAAUCUGGUAUAUCCUUUUUAGAUAUUAAAAGGCGCGGGGAGAGAUUGAGAUGUUGUACUUGUUGCGUGCGUGCCCGUUUGUGGCUAACGGUUACUAUCCAAUUUGCGAGAAGGAUUCAAGUAAAAAAGGAUUUGCUCUUAUUGAGCCAGUAGUUUCCUUAGAUACAUGGCUGAAAAGGAAAGAGAAUCUGCAAUUUUGGAGGUACAAAUUUGAAAACAAAAGUAAAUCAGCAUGCAUUGGGGUUGGAAAGGACUUCAUGGAAAUUUUUUUUCAAUUUGCCAAAGCACUUGAAAGUAUACAUCAGGCUAAGUUGUUCCAUGGCAAUCUUCAGAAUGGAAUUAUGAUGGGGUUGGAUUGUAAAAUUCGGAUUUGCAACUUCAAGCCGGGAAAGAAAAUUGAGUCACUUAAUGAGCAUGAAAAAGCAUCUGCUCAACACAAAGAUUUCAAGGAGUUCUUGAAUGUUCUUAAAAAAAUCAGUACAAGUUAUGGUCCGGAAAAUCAGUUGGAUCUUCCACCCGACCUGACUCUUUAUUUUAAAAUGUGUAUUUUCACGAAGGAUCCUCAGAAUUUGAGGGAUUUUAGAGAAACCUCAAAAUGGUUUUACCAACCCCCUUUGGUUUGGAAUUCAGCACGGUGUUUGUUUUUCCUUGAUGAACUUGAUCAGUAUAUUGAUCUUAAUUUGAUUGAUUUUAGCCUAAAAGAUUUUCUUGGAAUGUAUAUGGAUUGGCAGAAAGUUAUUCGAGGGACCAAGGAUGAAAAUCUGAUAGAGUGCUUAGAAUAUGAAAAUGGGGCCUUUAUAUAUACUACGCCGUUUGGAAUUAUUCGGUUUGUGAAAAACUACAAGAAACAUUAUAGGGAAAACUACAAGAAAGAUUAUAGGGGUAGUGAAAGAAGAACUACAAGAACGGAGGCUCAACUUGUUAACUACGUUACAAAACUCUUUCCAAAUUUUUUUAUGAAUGUUUAUAGCGGAGUUUUUGAGCUCAGGGAUGAGUUCGUGUGGAAUGGCUCACGUGUGGUGACGCUUGGUACUAUUUUAUGGGGGGACCCCUCGGUUUUUGACAUGGACAAAUGUAGGUCAUAAGUUAAGCUGCAGCGACAUUUAGAUAAAUUGGAGGAUCCACUUAAAAUGUACUUUGCUCAUCCGUCUCCAAUUUCACAAUUUGUUAUGUCAUUUGAACAUUUUGCAAGCUAGCUUCCACUCUCUACAGCACAUCUCGAGUACAUGGCUGCAUGGCAUACAUUUGGCGUUCUCCCUUCUUCGAUUUUCCCUGCACAGCCCAGUCCUGCUUUCUCAGAAAUUGCGGCUUAGAUUACAUCGCCAUGGUGUGGAGCUUUCUCUAGGAAUUUUGUUUGUUCUUUAGCCUGCCGUGAUUUUGUUCCAAUGUUGAGUUUUUGUCUUGAACUUCGGUAUAAUUGAGCUUUGUUUUAUUGUUUCUAUGUAUGGAUUGAUCUUGCGAUUUGCGAGGUUUCAUGGAUAUAAUAUUUAACUUUUUCCUUCUUUA
Lycium barbarum (goji berry) is the source of this 2102-nucleotide RNA transcript. RefSeq lists it as uncharacterized. The transcript is spliced from 9 exons. NCBI's taxonomy places the organism in Eukaryota, Viridiplantae, Streptophyta, Magnoliopsida, Solanales, Solanaceae. The record is from RefSeq and is a predicted model, not a curated record.